Molecule: ribosomal RNA, 468 nt
Filed under: uncultured bacterium
Lineage: Bacteria
Description: partial 16S ribosomal RNA
Rfam family: Bacterial small subunit ribosomal RNA
Source: RNAcentral
GACGAACGCUGGCGGCGUGCUUAACACAUGCAAGUCGAACGGAAAGGCCCUGCUUUUGUGGGGUGCUCGAGUGGCGAACGGGUGAGUAACACGUGAGUAACCUGCCCUUGACUUUGGGAUAACUUCAGGAAACUGGGGCUAAUACCGGAUAGGAGCUCCUGCUGCAUGGUGGGGGUUGGAAAGUUUCGGCGGUUGGGGGUGGACUCGCGGCUUAUCAGCUUGUUGGUGGGGUAGUGGCUUACCAAGGCUUUGACGGGUAGCCGGCCUGAGAGGGUGACCGGCCACAUUGGGACUGAGAUACGGCCCAGACUCCUACGGGAGGCAGCAGUGGGGAAUAUUGCACAAUGGGCGGAAGCCUGAUGCAGCAACGCCGCGUGCGGGAUGACGGCCUUCGGGUUGUAAACCGCUUUCGCCUGUGACGAGGCGUGAGUGACGGUAAUGGGUAAAGAAGCACCGGCUAACUACGUG